CCUACGAGAGGCAGCAGUGAGGAAUAUUGGUCAAUGGGCGCGAGCCUGAACCAGCCAAGUAGCGUGAAGGAUGACUGCCCUACGGGUUGUAAACUUCUUUUAUAAAGGAAUAAAGUUAGGCACGUGUGCCUUUUUGUAUGUACUUUAUGAAUAAGGAUCGGCUAACUCAGUGCCAGCAGCCGCGGUAAUACGGAGGAUCCGAGCGUUAUCCGGAUUUAUUGGGUUUAAAGGGAGCGUAGAUGGGUUGUUAAGUCAGUUGUGAAAGUUUGCGGCUCAACCGUAAAAUUGCAAUUGAUACUGGCAGUCUUGAGUACAGUUGAGGUAGGCGAAAUUCGUGGUGUAGCGGUGAAAUGCUUAGAUAUCACGAAGAACUCCGAUUGCGAAGGCAGCUUACUAAACUGCCACUGACAUUGAUGCUCGAAAGUGUGGGUAUCAAACAGGAUUAGAUACCCGAGUAGUC
RNAcentral lists this ribosomal RNA (460 nucleotides) under uncultured bacterium. RNAcentral describes it as "partial 16S ribosomal RNA". It matches the Rfam family "Bacterial small subunit ribosomal RNA", at positions 338 to 795 of the family's 1533-position model. The record is from RNAcentral.